AAGGGUUUAUCUCAGUGGUAGAGUGCAUGCUUGGCACACAUGAGGUCCUGGGGUCGAUCCCCAGUACCUCCA
This 72-nucleotide transfer RNA is filed under the name Camelus bactrianus (Bactrian camel). It matches the Rfam family "tRNA". From Rfam's summary of the family: Transfer RNA (tRNA) molecules are approximately 80 nucleotides in length. The record is from Rfam by way of RNAcentral. RNAcentral also lists the same sequence under 2 other names. Lineage: Eukaryota; Metazoa; Chordata; Mammalia; Artiodactyla; Camelidae.